UACGGAGGGGGCUAGCGUUGUUCGGAAUUACUGGGCGUAAAGCGCACGUAGGCGGCUUUGUAAGUUAGAGGUGAAAGCCCAGGGCUUAACCCUGGAAUUGCCUUUAAGACUGCAUCGCUAGAAUCGUGGAGAGGUAAGUGGAAUUCCGAGUGUAGAGGUGAAAUUCGUAGAUAUUCGGAAGAACACCAGUGGCGAAGGCGGCUCACUGGACCGUUGUUGACGCUGAGGUGCGAAAGCGUGGGGAGCAAACAGG
This 253-nucleotide ribosomal RNA is filed under the name uncultured bacterium. RNAcentral's name for it is "partial 16S ribosomal RNA". It matches the Rfam family "Bacterial small subunit ribosomal RNA", at positions 524 to 776 of the family's 1533-position model. The record is from RNAcentral.